ACGUGACCUCUCCAUAGAUUCUCAUGAUAAAGUAGCUGGCUUCUCUCAGAGAGACUUUUUUAUUACUGUUUUUAAAAAGAAUAAAACAUGCUUACAGUUCCAAAUGGUUUUCAGCACCAGGUACAUUAAACUUGAAAUAUGCACACAAAAACUUUUACUAACCAUCUCUUGAAAAUUUUCACAAUUCGCAAAUUAACUCAGAAGAAAACAUUGUUUCAGGUGUCUAUUACUGCAAAAUUAAAUACUCUAAAAUUUAGUGUCUCAAAACAAUAAUUUUUUAUCAUCUCCCAACUUCUGCAUGUUGACUGGGCUCAACUGGGACAAUUCUUACUUGGAAUCUCUCAUGCAGUUGCAGUCAGAUGGCAGCUGAGACUGGAGUCAUCUGAAGACUUGACUGAGCUGGAUGUCCAAGAUGUCAUUCACAAGCCUGGCAGCUGCUGCUGGCUAUUGGGUUGGAGCUUAGCCAGAGCUGUCAACUGAAGCUCCUCUAUGUGGCCUCUGCAUGUGGGUUCUUAGAGAGAGUGCUCCAAUAGUGAGUAUUCUUAAAGGC
This 550-nucleotide long non-coding RNA is filed under the name Homo sapiens (human). Lineage: Eukaryota; Metazoa; Chordata; Mammalia; Primates; Hominidae. The record is from RNAcentral.